RNAcentral lists this ribosomal RNA (465 nucleotides) under uncultured bacterium. RNAcentral describes it as "partial 16S ribosomal RNA". It matches the Rfam family "Bacterial small subunit ribosomal RNA", at positions 338 to 795 of the family's 1533-position model. The record is from RNAcentral.
CCUACGGGGGGCAGCAGUGGGGAAUAUUGCGCAAUGGGCGAAAGCCUGACGCAGCGACGCCGCGUGAGGGAUGAAGGUCUUCGGAUCGUAAACUUCUGUCAGCAGGGAAGAACGGUCACUGUGUUAAUCAGCAGUAAAUUGACGGUACCUGCAAAGGAAGCACCGGCUAACUCCGUGCCAGCAGCCGCGGUAAUACGUAGGGUGCGAGCGUUAUUCGGAUUUACUGGGCGUAAAGCGCUCGUUGGCGGUAUGUCAAGUCAAGGGUGAAAUCCCCGCGCUCAACCUUGGAACUGCUUUUGAAACUGGCAAACUUGAGUGUGUGAGAGGAUAGUGGAAUUCCAGGUGUAGGAGUGAAAUGCGUAGAUAUAUGGAGGAACAUCAGUGGCGAAGGCGACUAUCUGGCACAUAACUGACGCUGAGGAGCGAAAGCGUGGGUAGCAAACAGGAUUAGAUACCCCGGUAGUC